Long non-coding RNA from Dipodomys ordii (Ord's kangaroo rat), 1149 nucleotides. RefSeq lists it as uncharacterized. The transcript is spliced from 3 exons. The record is from RefSeq and is a predicted model, not a curated record. Lineage: Eukaryota; Metazoa; Chordata; Mammalia; Rodentia; Heteromyidae.
AAGCAGUGGGGAAUCAAAGAAUACUGGGCAGAAGUUGCUAAAAACGUAGAACCCUCCCAGAUUUAUAUGUGGGAUUGGUUGAGAAUACAAGUUUGGUGACAAACUGAGCACAUUCAGAUUCCGGCUAGACUGUUUCUUAAUGGUGUCAUCUCAGGCAGAUAGGUGGACCUCUUCCGCCCUAGAGCAGGUUUUUGGAUGACUACUAGGCAAGGGAAGACUUUAGUUCAGGGCCUGGCGCAUCAUAAGAGAACCUUGGCGAUUGUAUUAGGUGGUGGCUGACUAGAGUGGUAAUGAAGAAAUCCUUUCUUCUUUCCCUGAGAGGCAAGUACAUGAUUGCAUCCACUGAAAAGAUAGAACCAGACUUACCAAAGCCAUGGAGACAGUGAAACAGGUGUCUCCCCCAUCAGAGGCUUGAAUUCUAUCCCUCUGGUUCACAUAUACGGCUCCCAGUCCAGGAAAGAUGCCUUCUGGGAAUUCCCCAUGCAGCUUGAGAGACUCUGGCUUUGACUAGAGAUGAUGUCUUGGUGCAGCAGGUUUAACAUUAGGAUGAGGUGUGAUUGUUCUUCUGUACCAAGGCCAAGCAGUGGGCAGGAAAAUGGGACCAAGUGAGAUGUGAAGAAUGAGAAACUAAGGAGAGUGUACAAAGCAAGGGCAGGACACAGGCCAAGAGCCAGCGGGAAACUAUGGCCAGUGAUGAAAUCAGGAAGGAAAAGGUAGGUGGGGUCCAUUCUGGCUCUUAUAAAUGCCACUUUACCCCUGAGGGUCUGCUGAAGAAUUUUAAUCAGGACAGUGGAAUUCUCUCUUAAGCCAGUUUCCAUAAACGACAAGGCCCCAGAGUCUUUCUGGGUUGGAUCCCAACCCUGCCUCAGCCUUAGUCCACCUCCAUCCUCACACCGUUCCAUCAUUUCCAUCUAAGCAGUGAAUGGCAAGGGAUAAAGGGCUGAAUCCUUGAGCUGGGCUAGGGGACAUCUUUUGAGUCAGAAAGCAAAACCCUGUGCAUGGGUGUUUAUGUAGAUAUUUUUAAACCUGAGGUUCAUGCUAAACCCCAAGGUCAAACAACUUGGUCCAACACAACACUUUCUGUUCAUUAUGAAAGUGUAGCCUAAAAACCAUCUCCAACCUUUGAAUCAGCCCAAAACUUCAACAAGU